CUCUUACAUAUAAUUGCCAGAUAUAAUUUUCACAUUCUUGUAAUAAAUUUAUCAUCAUGGUUUUUUUUCAAAUACCUGGUAUGGUACUAUAGCUACCAUGAUCUUCAAACAUCUAGCAUAAUAGGCAUGGUGAAGAGAAUAGGAAAGGUUUCAGAAACUCUUCCUAAGAAUACAUCUUUCGGGGGCAGAACCAGGAGAACAUUGUACACAGAGACUGACACAUUGUAGUGCAAUGGAAUGUAAUGGACUUCUCUGCUAGCAGCAAUGCAAUGAUCCAGGACAAUUCUGAGGGACUUAUGAGAAAGAAUGCUAUCCACAUCCAGAGGAAGAACUGUGAGAGUAGAAAAACAGGAGAAAAACAACUGCUUGAUCAAAUGGGUUGAUGGGGAUAUGAUUGGGAAUGUAGACUCUAAAUGAUCACCCUAGUGCAAUUAUCAAUAAUAUGGAAAUAGGUCUUGAUCAAGGACACAUGUAAAACCCAGUGGAAUUGUGUAAUGGCUAUAGAAGGAGGACAGGAGGGAAAGAACCUGAAUCAUGUAACCAUGGGAAAACUAUUCUAAAUUAAUUAAUUAAAGUUUUUCAAUUAAAAAAAGAAUACAUCUUUCACAUUCUUUUUGUAGUGACAGAGAACUAGAAACUAAGAAUGUGCCCAUUUAUUAGAGAAUUACUGAAUAAAUUAUGGUAUAUAAAUAUAGUGGAUUAUUAUUGAACCAAAAGAAUUAUAUAAAGGAUGCUUUUAGAGAAACUUGGUAAAGUGUGGGUGAAUUCACGAAGUGAAGUAAGCAGAACAGGGAGAAUAAUUUAUUUGAUAAUAAUAAUGAAUUCAUUAUUCAUGGAAUUCAUGGAAUAAUGAAUGAUUCCAGUAUGCCAAUAUGAAGUGAGGGGGAAGGGAACUUGGAGUGUCAGUUGGUCUUGUGACUCUCUCUCUUCUGGCUCUUGUGCUCUCUCCCUAUCUCAGGAUAGAAGUACCUCUAUUCCUGGAUUUCCCAAAUUGUGUGCUCUACCAGCAUUCCUGUGAUCUUGUCAUCGAACAAAAGGAUUUAAGGGGAGCAAUUCGAACUAGACAAAGAUUUGAAGGAGGAAGAAAGAAAGGAUUCCUGAUUCAUAUGACAGUCCCUCUGUACAUUAUCAUUGAAGCCCUUACUGCUCUUCUGUCUUCAAGCCAAUACCCAGUAUUGAUUCUAAGAUGGAAGGUAAGGGUUUUAGAAAAAAAAAGAAAAAAGAAAAACUCAUAUUUGCAUUUGCCAUUCAGCAGUCCCUAUUAUUUUCUAUUCUCUCCUUGUGUUUUUCUUCUAAAGGAUUUCUACUAGCAUUUCCUUUUCUAUCAACUCACUGUUCUUCAGUCCUUACAACCUAGCUGUCACCUUUAUCCAUCCCUCUGAACUGAUCUUUCACUUUUUAAUUAGCCAAGGACCCAACAUUCUUUUAGACACAUAUUUUCUGUUAUCAGAUGAUCACAAAGGCUAAGUGAGCUGCUAAGGUUUAGAAAGCUUGUCAGUAUCAGAACCAAGAUCAGUAUUCAGGAGGUUUGCCUCAAAGUCCUGGAUCAGCCCAUUAAAUACCCUUGUUCCUAAGACUUGCUUAAAGUCACUUCUUUCUCCUUUACCUAUCAGCUUGUGCCAUCUCUUAUGUCAUUUGCAUAAUUGAAAUAUCUUCUCCCUCUUCCCAUGCAGCUACUGCAGAGAAUAGUCAGCUGUGGCUUUUUUUUUUUUUGCCACCUUUAUCCCAUAAAAAUCUGCAACUCUUGAGCAUCUUUUAAUUCUUUUUUUUUUUUUUUUGCUGAUUAACUUGUUGGUGGAGAUUCUGUUAAGGGCUAGGUCCAAAACUUGGCUCUUUUUUCUUUAUAGGACAAGUCCUAUCUGCUUGACCAUGUUUCCUUUCAAAGCUCAUAAUAAAUUUAAUUAUAUGAAGAAGAGUGACUUCUAA
This is a long non-coding RNA of Monodelphis domestica (gray short-tailed opossum), 1926 nucleotides long. The record is from Ensembl. Lineage: Eukaryota; Metazoa; Chordata; Mammalia; Didelphimorphia; Didelphidae.